UUCACCCUGGGGAUCCUGUUAAAAUGCAGGUUCUAAUUUUGUAAGAUGGGGCCUCAGAUUCAGCAUUUCUAACAAGCUCCCAGGUGAUGCCAA
RNAcentral lists this microRNA precursor (93 nucleotides) under Camelus bactrianus (Bactrian camel). Its description in RNAcentral is "mir-544 microRNA precursor family". It matches the Rfam family "mir-544 microRNA precursor family". RNAcentral also lists the same sequence under 1 other name. Lineage: Eukaryota; Metazoa; Chordata; Mammalia; Artiodactyla; Camelidae. The record is from Rfam by way of RNAcentral.